CGUGUGCGCAAGUCAUUGGGUGUCAAACCCAAAGGCGAAAUGAAAGUGAAGGAAACUCUGCUUUCCGAGGGAAGAUGGGCUGGACCCCUAAAAGGGCCACCUCGCACUCCCUGGGCGUCUCCAUCUCAUUGCGAGAGGAGGCGCACCAAGAGCGUACACGCUGAUACCCGAAAGAUGGUGAACUAUGCCUGGCCAGGACGAAGCCAGGGGAAACCCUGGUGGAGGUCCGCAGCGAUUCUGACGUGCAAAUCGAUCGUCGGAGCUGGGUUUAGGGGCGAAAGACCAAUCGAACCAUCUAGUAGCUGGUUCCCUCUGAAGUUUCCCUCAGGAUAGCUUGCGCUCGGACGAGACGAGUCUCAUCCGGUAGAGCGAAUGAUUAGAGGCCUUGGGGUCGAAACGACCUCAACCUAUUCUCAAACUCCAAAUAGAUGAGAACCCUGGCUUUCUUGAAAUUUUCUUUGAAGCCAGGGCUUCGGAUCAGAGUGCCAAGUGGGCCAAUUUUGG
This 504-nucleotide ribosomal RNA is filed under the name Myiomma sp. UNSW ENT 00029286. RNAcentral describes it as "partial large subunit ribosomal RNA". It matches the Rfam family "Eukaryotic large subunit ribosomal RNA", at positions 679 to 1140 of the family's 3401-position model. The record is from RNAcentral. Lineage: Eukaryota; Metazoa; Arthropoda; Insecta; Hemiptera; Miridae.